RNA transcript from Monodelphis domestica (gray short-tailed opossum), 6516 nucleotides. It is a transcript of the gene named beta-1,3-N-acetylgalactosaminyltransferase 1 (Globoside blood group), with no coding region annotated. Lineage: Eukaryota; Metazoa; Chordata; Mammalia; Didelphimorphia; Didelphidae. The record is from RefSeq and is a predicted model, not a curated record.
UGUCUCAAAAUCUUGUGAAUUCAAUGCCAAAUUGUGAAAAACAAGUGAUUUUUUAAAGCAAAUGGAGGUCAUACUGACAUUCAACAUAUUUUUUCAAGGUCCAAAAAAGUUGUAAGGCAUUUUUUUUUAAAUGACAUUAAAUUUAACACAUUUUUCUUCUCCCAAGUAAUUCAAGCAGCACUGUAACUUCACCCAGGUAUUGCAUCCUUGAACAAUCUGAACAAAAGAAAACACAGGGAAAUCCAUAUAUAAAGUCAGGUAACUUUAAUGGGUUUAUUUUCACUGGAGUCAAAUCUCAGUAGUCCAUUGUUUUGGAUACAAUAAUACAGAAUCUGAAAUUGCACAAACACAGGGGUUAGGUGGGACACCUCUACAGCUAACUGGAAUACACACAGGAGAGGAAGGGCCAGAGUUACCUACAAUGGUGGGACCAAGCACUGCCAUCCACUUAAUGAUGGGCUAACAGCAAACAUGAUGGCGGACUGACAUGUUGGUUUUGCUUUUUCAAAUUGUCUCUUAGAGACAAAUUUAGAAUAAUCCUUAUAAAACCCUCUGAUGAGUAACAAGAAUAAUGAAGUUGCCCCAAGGUUUUGUUGUUGUUCUCCUGGUCAACUUGUCAGAGAACCUUCGUGGGAAAGACUCAGGCACAGAGCUAUGGGACUUCCUACCAUGAACACAGGCUGAAGGCCCUGAAAAGGCUUAACUACAAUAAACUAUUGAUUCAAGUAUUUAAAUUUUAGAGAUAAAAAAAAUCAAUUCUCAUUCUUAUAAAUAGAAAAAAGUUGCAGAUCUUUCCUAAUUUUGAAAUCUGAACUACUGAACAUUAGAAAAUUGGCCCUGUGAAAAUAUGAGAAUUUUUUUGUGAAUGUUUCCACUGCCUAAAAACGUCUGAUUUGUUUUAAUUUCCAUCUACCCUUAGAUAUGAUCAAACUAGAGAUUUUGAUUUCCUUUGAAUUUACUCUGAUUGGUUACAAUGAUGAAGAAUUCCUGUCUGAUGAAAACAUUCUGCAAUUCCAGAUACUGGCACCAUGAAUAGAUUUGUGAAAGGGACUGGGUAAUAUAUGUUUGAUAAUUCAUUUAAUGUAAGUAUUUAAGUGCUGGCUCCAUGCCAGGCAUUGGCAUCAAGUGACAUGUAAAUAGCAUGCGGAUACAGAGAUAAAAAAAAAACAAACCAAACCAAAUACCUGCAACAAUCCAUGCCCUCAAGGACCUCAUCAUCUACUGAAAUCUCCUAGGAACUCACAAAUCUAGAACUGGAAGAAACCUAGAGGCCAUCUCCUCCAACCCCCUCACUUCAUAGAUGAGGAUAAGAGUUUAAAGGACUGAUGGGAUUCGAACCCAAUACUCCAAAGGCAGCAGCCUUUUUUAUUACUUUCAUGAAAAUGCUUGAGAUACCCUGGUGGUGAGCUGGUUAGGAGAAUGUGUGUGUCUACUGCACAGUUGAUAAGCAAAGUCAAUGAUUGUGGAUCUGAUACAAGAGGCCUGGGAGGAAGAGUAGAAUGGCGUCCAAAUGAAAGACAGACAUUGUUGAAUUAUAUUCCUAGGAUGCAAAAUUGGAAGAAGAUCAGAUUGCAGAGGAAGAAUAAGUGUAAACGAUUACCCUGGACUUGAAUAGUCACUGCCAACCAUUUGUAAAAGGGCAGAGGUGGAGCAGGUAUCGGAGCGGACAGCUCUACGACCCUGGCUUUUCUUUAUUCCAUGACUCUAAUGGAAGUGAGAUUGCUCAGGUGGCUUGUGUUCUUCCAGAUGAUCCCCUUGCUUGACCAAUGAUAAGCCAUAUGCGAUAUGCAUAAAGGUGAGAAAAUUCAGUUCAGUUUCAUGAGCAUUUAUUAAGAGCCUACUGUGUACUGGGGUCUAUGUGAAAACAUACUUCUCAGAAGUUCGUACAAUGAGGCUAAAAUAUCCAUGUCAAAAGCGCUGGUCUUCUUGGUUUCCAUAUCCAUUUGCUCACUUUGGCAUCUUUCAAAUAGAAUAGUCCCACUCUCCAUUCAUUUCCACCUCCAUUUUAUAUCACUCUUUUGGCCCAGUCUGGAAUUUCAAUGGCAUAGGGAACCCCAGCGAUGAGGAAAUCUCUCCCACCAACCCAGAGUCAUAAGAGAAAUGCUUUGCCACCUCUAGUCUCAGGGGGCUGUUUGAGAUCGAGUGAUCUGCUCAGGGGUGCUCUGAUAGCAUGUGUCCAAGAGGAGCUUGGCCAGGUCUUUCAGAUUCCACAUUUUACCUCGGAAUCUUACUUUGCUCAGGAGAACUCCAGAAAAGGGCCUAAAACAGACAGUAUCACACCUGGAAAAGAUUUUUAAGAUCACCUCAUUCAACCUUGGCAUUGUGUAGAUAAGGAAACUGAAGUCCAAAAGUGCCUUACCCAAGGCCACUCCACGAAUGGCAACGUCAGAACUCACUCUGAAAUUCAGGCCCAUCGUGCUUCCAGUGGGGGAAAAAAAAAGAAAGUAGACAUCUCAUAAAAAUAGCAACUCAUUUUAAAAUGUGUCUUGGUAAUGAGGCAUGGCAGGGAGCAAGGCAAAGCUUUGGAAAGCAGCAGAAAGAACCUUGGAUUGGAACCAAAGGACACGCGUGUGACUCCUGAUUCCUGGUACUGACAACUUGGGGUCUCAGGGAAGACUCCUUGAAAUCUAUAUUCCUAUGACUCAUCACCGAAAUAAACCAGAGAAGAGAAUUUGGCAAACGUGCCUCCUCACACAUUAAACGUUUUUCUUGAAAGCUACAGGACAGUAUUUGUUUUGACUCCUUUUAUGACCAGCUAAAAACCAAAAAGUUUAAACCUCUCCUAGCUAUCUGAAACAAGGGGAACUAUAGGGCAGCUCCCACAGGCGGAGAAGCUCAUCCAAUUCUCCAAACCUCUUUCAUCUUUUUUUGUUGUAAAGAGGUGGGGAGUCCACCAUUUGCAGAAAUGGGUUGAGGGAGAAAGGGAAGUCUGAAAUGUCUGUUUUAUUUUGCCACAGUAAUCAAGAACACUCAGUGAGUACUGUGUUUGGUCAGGAUGUGAAACUCAAAGCCAGGACUACAGUCUUGGAUGGCAAGGUGCCAAGUUUUCAGCCUAGAUAACCAGGGAAACCCAACAUCGGGGAAGGAGCUGGCCAUUCUUGUUGUCUUGAUAUUGUUGGCCAAUGAGAGACCUAACGAGGGCCAUGUUGGUAAUAAAUACCAUCGCAGUCUCUCAUCUCUCUCACUAUAUUUUGUAGCCACGUGGGAACAAGAGAAAAAUGAGUCAUGGGAACUAUUCCCAUCCUUCAUAGUUUUCCUAGUUCUUCUCUAGAAAACACCGAAUAAGCGGUAGAAGGGCGGGUCUAGGUGAGCGUUCCUUUUCAUAGUAUAAGCUGAUCCAGAGGAGAAAAGGAAGGAAGGAAAAGUCAGAGGUAUAAUGGUUUUAGAGUCCAAGGAUCCAAGUUCAGGACCCUCCUAUGCUGCAGACUGUGUGAUCUUGGACAAGAUACAACCUCUCUGGGCCCAUUUUCCUCAUGUCUAAUGGCCCCUGAGGUCUCUUCCUAUACUAGAUCUAUGAUCCUAUGACGGCUCCCCACUGGGGAUACUUCACUGGGGGGAAGGGAAGCCCUUGGGUAGAGUAGCUGCCCAGGGGAGUGAAUCAGAGCAGGGAGAGAAGUCACAGGACGAGGACCGCUGCUGCCUUGCCCAACUCACUCACCCCGUCACUUUCUGAGGCUGUGCCAUCUGGAAUACCCAGGAUAUAGAUGGGCACAGUCAGGGCAAACAAAACCUCUAAUAUACUCCUUUAUAAGUGAUCUCAUGUGUGUAGGGAGACCAUGUUUAAUUCUGUUCUGAUGCUAACAAUUUGCUGUAUUCAUGUGGACCCUAAAGGGCAUUUCCUUUCUGCCUUUUCCUUAGAUGAUAUCUCCUUUUUGGUCCAACUUUUGCAUUAAAAUCACCAAGAGGCCAAAUCCAUGAGAAAAUUUCCUUGCAAGAAACAGAUCAAUCUGUCUGUCCACUUGUAAUGGCAAGAUCAAAUCCACACUACCUGCAUACAUUUUGUGGAUGAUGGACAUUAGUGAAACUGGAUGCAACACUGCCUCAAGAAUCAUUCAGAAGUAUUAAAAACAUCAUCAUGAUCACGACUGGGGGCCCAGAGUGGGAGAAUACCUCACGCUACAGGAGAGAAGAGUGGAAAGGUUAAUUAUUUGGACCAUGUUCAAAUAAGGCAUUUAAAAUCCAUAUAAAUUCAUUUUUUUUUCUUUUAAAUAAUAUUUCAUUUCAUUUGGGACAUUUUUCUGUUUUCCUAAAUGAAAUCCACUUUCCCAAAUGAUUUCCUUUUUUUCCCUUCUUUUUUUUUAUUUGAAUAAGUUUAUUUAGUCAAUUUAGAACAUAAUUCCUUGGUUACAAUCCAAAUGGUUUCCUUUUGUAACACAUAAAUGAAGAGUUCAUUCAUUCAUUCAUCCAUUUUUCUUUCUGGAUGCUGGCAUGUUGGUACACGGAAAGAUGCCCCGGUGAAUUCCUGGAAAUUCAAUGAAAACUCUCAUCAAAAUUAAAAGUACCUGAAGGCAUGUCUACUUUGUUCUUGAGGUGGUGCCUAGAUUAAUCUACACGUCUCUCAGCUGUGGCCCUUUUUGGUAAGUCCAUUUUAUACUUUUUGAUGACCAGAAUGAGCAGUGACUAUUUGUUCUUGUUCUUAAAUUCAACUCAACAGCCACUGGUUAAUUGUGUGCUAUGUGCAAAGCUCAUUUUAGGACUAAAAAUGGCACCUCCCUCCAAGGGGCUCCCAUCUACUGAAUGAACAAUAAGAACAUCAAACGAGGCAUGUGUGAAGACACAAAGCUGGUUUUCCCUUUCAGCAUCAUUCCUUACCACUAGCUUAUUUUUACAGACUGGACGGGUUUGAAUGUAUUUCCCCUGCAAACUGGAGUGUGGCUUAGAAUGGGGAUUACUUUUUGGUGCACACUGGGGUGUACCAGGGUCUCCAAAGGCAUAUGUAUGUACACACGGACAUUCGUAUUCCCUUUCAAAGACAUUUCAUUUUCGUGGCAUCGUAAGCUGUUUGGGAAACAUCUAUCUUUAGAACCAACUCUGGAUUCUAGAUUAACAACCAGAAAGGACUUCGAGGUCACCUCGAUUUAGAAGUCUUAAGCAAACACGACUGUUAUAAGAAAAUAGCUAGAUCUUUAAAGGGAAAUGCGUCAGUUCUUGUCCCCAACCUUGGGAGGAAAAUUUGGGGACGAGCUCCUAAUGGGAUCCUUCCUGAUCAACUUUGGUGGAACACUGAAAAUGUGGAGGGUGGGACAACAGUCCAUGAUGCCUUUUUUCAAGAUUUAAAGUUUUCCCUUAUAAAGAAGUAAUAUGAAGGGUGGAAGUAUGAAUGGAAAGGAAGCGGGCUGGUCAUGCAGUAAGAGAGAGGGAUGACUGGUGGAAGGCGUCCAUGCUCCCCUGGAGGAUAUAUCUCAUCAGGAGAUAUGGAAGGAAGUCCGAGAUGCCCAUUUGGGAGGCUUAGACAAGAAUCACACAGGGGGACGAGGCAGAGAGGGAUGAGAGCACAGAUGCAUCCAGACGUCCUUUUAGGUCUGGAAUCUGGAAGUGAAUUUUAAUAUUUGCUGGCUAUUUCCACACGACUGGUUUCCUUGGUAAUCCUAUGAAUUUUAUUUCAAUCCUAUAAAAGCGUGAUUCUGAGAAGGGGUCCUUGAGUUUCCCAGAGGGUCCGAGAGGUCCACGACAUCAAACACUCUCAGAGCCUUGGCUUUAUAUCCUAUAAUAUCCUUAGAAGUGCACCGUGGCUAUUUCCUCGGCAUGCUGAUGGGCACAUCACUUCAGUUUGACUGCAGAUGCAUGUUGAAAUAAAGUAAGAGUUGUCGUAUCUCUCCUUCACAGAAUGCUGUUCCAGUAGCCCUAGAAAAAGGCUGUUUCUGAAUCUGGGAGCUAUUCACGUUCAAGAGAAGCGUUAGCACAGGAUCCUAAAAACCCCAAGCCAGAAGGAGUCUGCUUUUGAAGGCGAUGAGUCCCAGGGCUGAGUGAACAGGCACGUGUCCGUGUCACAAAGAGGUGCUGGACAGGAUCUGGCCACAGGAGGCCAAGACUGACCCUGCUCCCACGCCACUGCUCUCCUGAGGAAUUUCCUGACUGUCUUCUGAAUGAGUCCUGCCAGUCCCUUAAGGUCAAUAGGGAAAACCGAUACGUGUUCCAAGUCCUUGAUCUGGAUUUAAAAAGCUGAUUGCACAUCGGAUGCCUUGAUUGAGGAACAUAUGGCUUUCAAGGCUCAAAAACCAGAUUCAAGUCUCACCUCAGACAUGUGUAAUUCUGGGGAAGUCAUUUGACUGCUCAGUGCUCCAAGUGACUCUCAAAAAUGAAAAAUUACAGAGGAAUUGCUGUGGCGCGUUGGUGAAGUGGGGGUUCCUUCAGGCUCCCUACUCCGAACAAACCCAACCCAAGCCCAUGGCCCGGAAACCAUUCAGACCCUUAAAAGGGUAAAGAGUAAUGUUACAUCCUAUGUAGUUAUAAAUGGUAACCACUCAAUAAAGUUAUUACCAUCUUCAUAAAGGACACACUAACGAAACAGGCAAA